CGGGAUAUAGCUCAGUUGGUAGAGCUUGCCUUGCAUGCACAAGAGCCUGGGUUCGAUCCCCAGCACCACAU
Ictidomys tridecemlineatus (thirteen-lined ground squirrel) is the source of this 71-nucleotide non-coding RNA. The record is from Rfam. NCBI's taxonomy places the organism in Eukaryota, Metazoa, Chordata, Mammalia, Rodentia, Sciuridae.